GUUCCCACCCACAUCAGUUGUAUCUCUUCUCACUUGAGUCCCAGGAGACCCCAGAGAAGUCACCUAUGAAAGAGCACACCACUCUUUCAUCUUAUACAACUGUGUCUCUGCCUGGCCCACAACAGUAUUUAAUGAAGAUUCUGGAAUUUAGUGAAUGAAUCACUUCAUUCCCGGCACCAUCUUGCUGUUGGCCCUAGUUUAUUCUCUCACUGGGGAACUUGAGCUGCUGUAGGUUUCUUGGGCAGGCUUUGAGGCUCAAGUCCAGGAUCCAAGAAGCUUGACAGCAAGAGUGAACAAUUCCCAGAUGAGUGAUCCACAGCAGCAAGUGGCAAGGUCCAGACAGUUAGCAUGAGUCCUCGAUCUGCAGAGAUUCUGAGUGUUGAAGAUCUGCCAAGGCAGCUCUAGAUGGUUGUGAGUGAGCAGUGGGAAGAAGCCCAGGUUGUCUGCACUGGGUGUGAAUGGAAGGAUUUGGAGCUUUGGGCUGGAAGAUUUUAUUCGGAGAACCCUGGACAAAAUCGCAGGAGCUAAGGAAUGGGAGUUCCCAGAAUGGCUUCAACCUGUCCACUGUAAUAUUCCCAAUAUACACCAGAAACUGGAAGCAGCCUAUAUGCCUCUCAACUGAAGAAUGGAUACAGAAAAUGUGGUACAUUUACACAAUGGAGUACUACUCAGCAGAAAAAAAAAAAC
This 687-nucleotide long non-coding RNA is filed under the name Cricetulus griseus (Chinese hamster). RNAcentral's name for it is "lncRNA (ENSCGRG00015030143.1)". Lineage: Eukaryota; Metazoa; Chordata; Mammalia; Rodentia; Cricetidae. The record is from RNAcentral.